AACUUGUGGAACACAAUGCCUUGAUACAAAAAGUACGGGGAGGCAAAACACGCAGCCACGCACCAAACACCUGCGAGCACCGAAAUCUGAAAAUAAAAUUGGUUAGGGGAGCAGGAUGGAAGUACAAGAUACCGUAGUUUUUGUGGAGA
This is a non-coding RNA of Caenorhabditis elegans, 149 nucleotides long. The record is from Ensembl. NCBI's taxonomy places the organism in Eukaryota, Metazoa, Nematoda, Chromadorea, Rhabditida, Rhabditidae.